Molecule: ribosomal RNA, 309 nt
Filed under: Mycoplasmopsis bovis
Lineage: Bacteria; Bacillati; Mycoplasmatota; Mycoplasmoidales; Metamycoplasmataceae
Description: bacterial SSU rRNA
Rfam family: Bacterial small subunit ribosomal RNA
Source: RNAcentral
AUGGAAACAUCCGAUAAUACCGAAUACUUAUUAUUUUUGCAUGAAAGUAAUAUAAAAGGAAGCGUUUGCUUCGCUAAAAGAUCGGAGUGCGCAACAUUAGCUAGUUGGUGAGGUAACGGCCCACCAAGGCGAUGAUGUUUAGCGGGGUUGAGAGAUUGAUCCGCCACACUGGGACUGAGAUACGGCCCAGACUCCUACGGGAGGCAGCAGUAGGGAAUAUUCCACAAUGGACGAAAGUCUGAUGGAGCGACACAGCGUGCAGGAUGAAGGCCCUAUGGGUUGUAAACUGCUGUGGUUAGGGAAGAAAAA